GAUGAAGAACGCAGCGAAAUGCGAUACUUGGUGUGAAUUGCAGAAUCCCGUGAACCAUCGAGUCUUUGAACGCAAGUUGCGCCCGAAGCCACUAGGCCGAGGGCACGCCUGCCUGGGCGUCACACGUCGUUGCCCCCCACCAUCUACUCCUUCGGGAUUGCGGGGGGCGGAUGAUGGCCUCCCGUGCGCCUAGCCGCGCGGUUGGCAUAAAUACCAAGUCCUCGGCGACGCACGCCACGACAAUCGGUGGUUGCGAAACCUCGGUUGCCCGUCGUGUGCGUUCGUCGCGCAUCGAGGGCUCGAAAAAAUGCUCGGCUCCGGCUCGGCUUUCAACGCGACCCCAGGUCAGGCGGGGUUACCCGCUGAAUUUAAGCAUAUAAUAAGCGGAGGA
RNAcentral lists this unclassified non-coding RNA (391 nucleotides) under soil metagenome. RNAcentral's name for it is "partial contains 5.8S ribosomal RNA, internal transcribed spacer 2, and large subunit ribosomal RNA". The stretch from base 1 to 122 matches the Rfam family "5.8S ribosomal RNA", at positions 35 to 154 of the family's 154-position model. The record is from RNAcentral.